Molecule: ribosomal RNA, 218 nt
Filed under: uncultured Glomeromycotina
Lineage: Eukaryota; Fungi; Glomeromycota
Description: partial small subunit ribosomal RNA
Rfam family: Eukaryotic small subunit ribosomal RNA (bases 44-218)
Source: RNAcentral
GGGUUUACCCAUUGAUCAGGCUUAAUUGUCUGUACUGGUGAGAUAAAUCUCUACCUUCUGAGGAACUUUCAUGUCAUUAAUUUGGUGUGAUUGGAAAUCAGGACUGUUACUUUGAAAAAAUUAGAGUGUUUAAAGCAGGCUAACGUCUGAAUACAUUAGCAUGGAAUAAUGAAAUAGGACGGAUUGAUUCUAUUUCGUUGGUUUCUAGGAUCACCGUA